GGAGAGGUGACCGAGUGGCCGAAGGUACUCCCUUGCUAAGGGAGCGCGGGUCAAAAGCCUGCCGCGGGUUCGAAUCCCGCCCUCUCCG
This 88-nucleotide transfer RNA is filed under the name Myxococcales bacterium. Its description in RNAcentral is "tRNA-Ser". It matches the Rfam family "tRNA". Rfam says of the family: Transfer RNA (tRNA) molecules are approximately 80 nucleotides in length. The record is from RNAcentral. Lineage: Bacteria; Pseudomonadati; Myxococcota; Myxococcia; Myxococcales. RNAcentral also lists the same sequence under 1 other name.